UCCAAGCCUCUCCGAUCAUCAGAGCAGAACAGAGCCAAGACGAUGGCAGCAACCAUGGCGACAUCAGCCACGUGCAUGUCCCUAAACCCAUCUCCUCCUAAACUCCAAAACCAAACCAAACCCAAACCAUUCAUCUCCCUCCCAAACCCAACAAAACCCAACGUAUCUCUCGCUGUCUCAAGCACUGCCCUAGCUGGAGCCGUCUUCUCAUCCCUCAGCUACUCUGAGCCAGCCUUAGCC
Molecule: long non-coding RNA, 240 nt
Filed under: Capsella grandiflora
Lineage: Eukaryota; Viridiplantae; Streptophyta; Magnoliopsida; Brassicales; Brassicaceae
Description: long non-coding RNA (CGRA_LNC000742)
Source: RNAcentral